ACCAUAUUUUUUAUAAUAUCCAUUUUAAUAUAUGAAUAUAAAAAUUAAAUUUUUUUGUUAAUGGAGUUAUUAGUCUUGUAAUUAAAAGAAUAUGGUGUUCUAUUUUUUUUUCAUUUUUUGAAACAUACUUUUUAAUCGGUACAUACGACAUAGCCAAGUAAUAUAUACUAAAAAUAUUAAUCAUCCAGUAAGUCAAUAUAUAUCUCUAUAUAAAUUGUUAUAUAAUUUUUAGAAUAUAAAAUUUAUCAGUA
This 251-nucleotide long non-coding RNA is filed under the name Elaeis guineensis (African oil palm). Its description in RNAcentral is "long non-coding RNA (EGUI_LNC081123)". Lineage: Eukaryota; Viridiplantae; Streptophyta; Magnoliopsida; Arecales; Arecaceae. The record is from RNAcentral.